AAGCAUGUAGGCUGAUUGUCCAGGCAAAUCCGGAUAAUCAAGGCUGAGGUGUGAUGACGAGGCACUACGGUGCUGAAGUAACAAAUGCCCUGCUUCCAGGAAAAGCCUCUAAGCAUCAGGUAACAUUAAAUCGUACCCCAAACCGACACAGGUGGUCAGGUAGAGAAUACCAAGGCGCUUGAGAGAACUCGGGUGAAGGAACUAGGCAAAAUGGUGCCGUAACUUCGGGAGAAGGCACGCUGGUGUGUAGGUGAAGUCCCUGCGGAUGGAGCUGAGACCAGUCGAAGAUACCAGCUGGCUGCAACUGUUUAUUAAAAACACAGCACUGUGCAAACACGAAAGUGGACGUAUACGGUGUGACGCCUGCCCGGUGCCGGAAGGU
Molecule: ribosomal RNA, 382 nt
Filed under: Acinetobacter baumannii
Lineage: Bacteria; Pseudomonadati; Pseudomonadota; Gammaproteobacteria; Moraxellales; Moraxellaceae
Description: partial 23S ribosomal RNA
Rfam family: Bacterial large subunit ribosomal RNA
Source: RNAcentral